UAGGGAAUCUUCCGCAAUGGACGCAAGUCUGACGGAGCAACGCCGCGUGAGUGAAGAAGGAUUUCGGUUCGUAAAACUCUGUUGUUAGAGAAGAACAGCGCAUAGAGUAACUGUUAUGCGUGUGACGGUAUCUAACCAGAAAACCACGGCUAACUACGUGCCAGCAGCCGCGGUAAUACGUAGGUGGCAAGCGUUGUCCGGAUUUAUUGGGCGUAAAGCGAGCUCAGGCGGUUAAUUAAGUCUGAUGUGAAAGCCCCCGGCUCAACCGGGGAGGGUCAUUGGAAACUGGUUGACUUGAGUGCAGAAGAGGAGAGUGGAAUUCCAUGUGGAGCGGUGAAAUGCGUAGAUAUAUGGAGGAACACCAGUGGCGAAGGCGACUCUCUGGUCUGUAACUGACGCUGAGGCUCGAAAGCGUGGGUAGCAAACAGG
RNAcentral lists this ribosomal RNA (429 nucleotides) under Bacteroidota bacterium. RNAcentral's name for it is "Bacteroidetes bacterium partial 16S ribosomal RNA". It matches the Rfam family "Bacterial small subunit ribosomal RNA", at positions 355 to 776 of the family's 1533-position model. Lineage: Bacteria; Pseudomonadati; Bacteroidota. The record is from RNAcentral.